AUAUUAUUUCAAAAAGGUUGCUGAAAAUUAAUAAAAUACCUACUUUGUAUAAUCCACUCGAUAUGGGAACUAAGGUGAUACCUUUAAAUAAGUUUCAAAACUGUUUAAAGAUGUUGUCUAUUGAUUCUUUUCAUUGAUUGUAUAGGUAAAAUGGAGUAAAUGAAAUUAUAAAUGUUGGUGAAACUCCUGGCUGCAUUAUAGGCUUAAAUUUUGGAAGCAAGGUGGAGAUUGUUGAGAAAGUGUUCCAAAAUUCAACUUGAAGAAGCGUGUUUUAUGAAAUAGCAAUUUUCUUUAAGUGAUAUUCUACGUGGCGGUUGAUUGUUGGCUACUAAACAUUAACACUCGGAUUGUGCUACUUGAAACAAUAUGUGAGCUGCUGAUUAAAUAUUGUGGCUGGAGUUAAAACAAAAAAUCUGACUUAUGGGCUGCCUUUUCUUUGGAAGACUAACACACACACACACUCUCUCAGACGUCUCACUCUCUCAAGAAAAAGGGCUGGUCAUUUUCUCUCUCUUCGUGUGUGAAACUGUCUCUUUUUUCUUAGUGAUUUUAAGGUUAAUUUUUUGUAGUUUUUUCUGAAAAUAAUCCUAGAAAACAGCAUGAAAUACUCAAGAUCUAUAUGGGUGUUGUGCUAUUUUGCUCUUUGUUGAGUCGAACCCGAGUGACUUUUUGUUGGCCAGAUUUUCUUGUGAAAACUUAGUGUUUUUCGGCCGUUCUUAUAUACUAUAGAGGUUGAUUUUGUAUAGUUCCUUGGUGGAAAGUGAUAUACUAUGAAAUAGCACUCGAAUUUUUGUGAUUCUAGAGAUGGUAACUUCAAUCAUGGGAGAAAUCUUAGUGAUU
Molecule: long non-coding RNA, 840 nt
Filed under: Olea europaea (common olive)
Lineage: Eukaryota; Viridiplantae; Streptophyta; Magnoliopsida; Lamiales; Oleaceae
Description: long non-coding RNA (OEUR_LNC010547)
Source: RNAcentral